Molecule: long non-coding RNA, 4331 nt
Organism: Orcinus orca (killer whale)
Lineage: Eukaryota; Metazoa; Chordata; Mammalia; Artiodactyla; Delphinidae
Exons: 3
Source: RefSeq, a predicted model, not a curated record
CAAACUACUAUGUAUAAAAUAAGCUACAAGGAUAUAUUGUACAACAUAGGAAAUAUUGCCAAUAUUUCAUAAUAACUAUACAUGGAAUAUAAUCUUUAAAAAUUGUGAAUCACUAUGUUGUAUAACUACAUCAACUAUACCUAAAUUUAAAAAGAAAAACAAAAUGAUAAAACUAUGACCCACUGAUUUAAUUUGUCUCAGUCAUAAACAAAGGAGGGAGGGGAAAAGCUUUAUGUUUAUAAAAGGUGGAUGAGUUUUAGAAGAAUCAUUGUUUUCUAUAAUACCUACAUCACAAUAUUUACCUACUUGCUUAAUUAAGUUUCAACUGCAAUCACAUUGUCUGCUUAAACCUGGUUUUUACGUUUUGUCCAUUUUAGCAAUAUCCUUAGUCUCCCUUUUUCCUACCAGCUUUUUUUUUUUUUUUCCUGCUUUUAAGGUUUCAAAGUUCUCUAUUCUCUUAAGAAAACAAGACAAAACAAAAAUAAGACUUUUGGGGUUUCCUUGGUGGCGCAGUGGUUAAGAAUCCACCUGUCAAUGCAGGGGACAUGGGUUCAAGCCCUGGUCCAGGAAGAUCCCACAUGCCGCGGAACAACUAAGCCCGUGCACCACAACUACUGAGCCUGCACUCUAGAGCCCAUGAGCCACAGCUACUGAGCCCAUGAGCCACAACUACUGAGCCCGUGAACUACAACUACUGAAGCCUGCGCACCUAGAGCCCAUGCUCUGCAACAAGAGAAGCCACCACAAAGAGAAUACCAUGCACUGCAACAGAGUAGCCCCCACUCACUGCAACUAGAGAAAGCCUGCGCACAGCAAUGAAGACCCAAUGUAGCCAAAACUAAAUAAAUAAAUAAAUUAAUUUAAAAAAAAAAAGACUUUCUCUGAUCCCACUGCCUCUCUGGAUAUCUUCCCAAUUUCUUCUAUUGUCUAAUUUCUCAAAUCAAUGCCUACCUUUAUUGCUGCCUUUUGAGUCAAACCACUCUCUUCUUAACCAUCCUGCAAUCUGACUUUGGUAUCCACAGCCAUAUUGAAAGUGUUUUCUUUUUUUCUUAAACAAUCUUUACCCCUCUCUCAUUUCUGAAAUUGUGUUUCAUUCCUUGUUUUUUAAGAUUUUUUUUUUUUUUUUUUUUUUGCUAUCUCAUACCCAAUUUGUUCUCAGAAGGGAGGAGGAGAGGGAGGUGAGAUUUUUGCCCCCAGGGCAUCUUUGGCAAUGUCUGGAGAUAUCUGUGCUCAUCACAACUGCGAGGGAGUGUCCUGACCUUGACCAAUUAGAGGCCAAGGAUGCUGCUGAACAUCCUGCAAUGCACAGGAUGGGCCCUCACAACAAGGUAUCCUAUAGUCCAAAAUGUCAGCAUUGCCAGGGUUGUGAAACCCUGCCAUACCCAGUGGCAAAGUGCCUUCAGGGGCAUUUGAAAAUGUGAGGAACAAUAGGCAUCAUUUUGGUGGUUACAAUGACUGAAUGACUGAGGAGAGCCAUUGGCAUUUAUCCUGGGAGCUAAGGAUGCAAAACAUCCUGCAGGGCACUACAGUCUCACGCAAAACACUGCAAUCCAGUUGUACCUCUACUUGCCUUCUCUAUUUCCUUUAGUGUUUUCCCCUCUCACCAACUUAUUGUGUUAUUCAAGCCCUUAGUUUCUCUCUCUACCUCUGAGAGCUCCUCCUACCUCUUGAUUUCCCCCUCCUGUAAUCACCUAGCAAUGAUAUUGGUAAGCCUGGAUGUCUGUGACAACAACAAUAUUUUGGCAGUCAAGCUAAAAACUUGGAGCUAUCUUUCCACACCUGAAAGAUGCCAUUUUAUUAUUUUCUGGCCUUCAUUGUUUCUAAUGAUGUUAUCCGUUAUUUGUAAUUGUGUCCACUGAAUAUAAUGUGUCCUUUUUCUCUGGAUGCCUUUAAGAUUUGCCUUCAUCUUUGGCUUAACUAUGAUGUGCCUAGGUGUGGAUUUCUUUGUAUUUAUUCUGUUUUAUGUUAGUUGAGUUUAGGAUCUGUGAAUUGGUAUCAUUCAUCAUUUUGGAAUGUUCUUGACAUUAUCUCUUCACACAUUUUUUUUGCCCCAUUCUGUCUGUCCACUGUUUCUGGGAAUCAAAUUUUAUAUAUAUUAAACUAUAUUAUGAUAUUGUCACAGAGAUCUCAGAUGCUCUGCUCUUUCACAUCCUCCCACUCCCUUUGCAUUUCAAAGCUAAUUUCUUCCAAAAACACCCUCACAGACACAUCCAGAAAUUGUGUUGUACUAGCUAUCUGGGCAACCCUUACCCCAGUCAAGCUGACACGUAAACCAUCACAGCACCACUAGACCCUGAACCAUGCAUCUUGUGUCUCCAAGACCAUCAAAUCUGAUACUGGAUACUGCCUUUGGAAACUCUGUAUGGUUGUCCCUGGUGCCUCCCUUCGCCAGAGUGGACUCAGCAUAGUACUCAGUUAUUCAUGCAACAAAUAUUUACUGAGCAUCUACCAUAUGCCAGGCCCUCUUCUAGGGGCUGUAGAAACACCAAUAAGCAACCAAGAUGCCUGUCUUUGGAAACAUAUCUUCUAACUGGGUAACCAAGUUGUCCAGUUUUCCUGGACUCCCCCAGUUUUAGCACUAAAAGUCCCACAUCCCAGAAAACCCUUCAGUUCAAUGGACAUCUAGAGGAAGAGCAUUUUAGGCAAAGGGAAGAGCAAUGACCUUGAGGUGAGUGGGGCCCUCACCUCAUGUUAUUAGACGGAUAGCAAGGACCACUGUGUGGCUAUAGUGGAUUGAGAGAGAUUUAGGCCAGUUAAUAACAUCUCCAAAUUUUCUCCAAAGUUUCUUCAUUAGUAAUUUGGUAAAAAGAGACAAUGUUUUGCUAGUGCCUGGGAAGGAUCAAAAGAUCAGUGUAUUCAAUCGUACAGAUGGCUCUUUGAAGAGAUCAGACAUAUAACUCAGGGAUCCCCUUGGCCACCUCACCAGAAGCCAGGAACAGAUUUGGGAUUAUCCAGGAAGGAUCUGUGGAGAAACUUCUUAUCUAAUGGAGUGCAUCUCUGUGAAAGAAGAGACCCACAAUGUUGUUGAGAAUGUUAUACCAUCAGAAACACUGCCAACCUGGACUGAAAGGGGAAGAGAAAGGACAAAAUGAAAGAAGGUUGUCACUCCUCCAAUUCUACAGUCAGGAAACUGGUUAAUAAAACUUCUAUCCUAAAAGUAUGUGUUACUUUCAUGAAAAAGGAAGGAUGACCCUAGUGCAGAGCAGUGAGCCCAGAGGGUAGAGUUAUUUUUCAGAAUGCUGAGGAAAUACCCAAGUUGUAACAGUGUUUUAAAAAAUGAAAACAAGAUAUAGAUACAGCUUUAAGGUAGAGAAACACUUUCAGCUUUAACUAGAAAAGAUAAAUUAUAUUUUAUAUCAUAAAAUCUGCAAACCAAAGUUCUCAAAUUUGAUGAUAUAGUAAUAAAUUGUAUUUUAUUAAAAACACUUUUAUUUCUUCCUUUAUAGUUCAAUGUGUAAAAUAUUUUUUAUCUAAAGCAUAAAAAGCUGUCUAGUUAAUAUUCUACUUUUAUUUAAUAAACAAAACAUUUACUCAUUCAUUUAUUUAAUUAAAAGAACACAUACUUUUCAGGUUUCAGUGGAGUACUGGUAACUAGUCAUCUUUAGUUUAACUGGGUAGGAUAUAAACCUUGUCUUGUAGGAAUGAAUACUUCCUGAAACUAUGAAGCUGACCCUAGGACCAAGAGAACUAACAAGAAGUCUUGUCCACUUUGGUUAUAACCUUAGGCUGAAUGAUUUUAAAGUAGCUUUAAAAUGAUUCCUGAGAAAUGUUCUGCAAAAGAAGACAUCCCAAGCUCUGCCAGAGAAAAGCAGGAUUGAGGAGUAUCAAAGAAAAGGGGGGAUUGAAAAUGAGCAGGACCCUCCGGGACCCUCCAAGAAACCAAGAUCUGGCCCAGGUGGAGCGGUGACUAUAUGCUGACCACAAGCAUGUAGACCCCAGACUGGUUGAAACCAGAAGGUAGAUGACUGAAACUCUUGAAACACCACCCCGCUACCUUACCACCAACCAAUUAGAGGAAAGUCAUGUUCACUACAGCCAUCACUCCAACUGUUGCCUUUAAAAACCCUUCCCUGAAAGCCAUCAGGGAGUUCAAGUCUUUUGAGCAUGAGCUUCUUGUACUCCUUGCUGGGCCCUGCAAUAAACACUGUACUUUCCUUUACCACAACCUGGUGUCAGUAAAUUGAGUUUGCUCUGCCAUGGGUGAGUGGACCCAAGUUCAGUUUGGUAACAGUAGCCAAAAUAAAAACCUGGAAGUCCAAGUCCAAAUCAGUUGGCCAAAUAAGAGAUCAAAGACAAAACGGAGGUGUGCCUCUAUAAAGAGGGGUCAAAGA